CGGAGGAAGACAUGAGUAUCUAUGGGAAGGCUCGAGACAAGGGUAAAUAUGGAAUUUUUACCAUGCUGUCUGUGCUAAUUUUGAAAAGAGCGGUUUUCAACAGGCGCUCUGUUAAAAAAAAAUGCAAUCAUCAAAGAGAUGAUUUCGGGAGCAAAGAGGGUUUUGUUGCAUUUAUUAUUGCGUCUCUUCCGUAGGAAGGAAUCAGAGUUGAGAAAAUUUCAGAGCAAAAGAUAUGUUUUACUCCG
Molecule: long non-coding RNA, 245 nt
Filed under: Setaria viridis
Lineage: Eukaryota; Viridiplantae; Streptophyta; Magnoliopsida; Poales; Poaceae
Description: long non-coding RNA (SVIR_LNC008880)
Source: RNAcentral